AGGGCAUUACUAGCACUUACUUCACAUUCGAUGCUAAGAGGUGGAUGAACUCGGUGUCUUGGAGGAUCCAUCCAUUGGAAAACCUCAGUGAUGUGACCUACCCUCGAUCUUUGGUGGUAUCUUACACCAUAUGAGGCAUUAACGAGUCGGAGUGAACGGACUUCUAUUAGAGCAACAAAAAAAUCCUUUUUCUCCCGGGUAUGGUGUCGACACUAUGCGGGCGAGUUGGGGUACCCACUUGGAGAUUGACAUAGAUGCCCCCUUUUAAAUCCUCUCUCCGGGUGAAGAUGGUUGGCUCUAAAGGGAAGAAGUGGAGGAAAAUGAGCUAAGUAGAGUGUAAAAUGAUUAUGGUGAGCCACCGAUCAAUGGCGGUUGCUCGGUGGAUGACUUGGCUGCAGUCAUGAGAUUCAUGGAGGCUACCCUGCUGGAGCCACAACCCACCUCCCUUUAUCUCCCUCAUUGUAUUUUGUAUUUUUCCCUAUCUCCCUCUUUAUAUUUU
Molecule: long non-coding RNA, 499 nt
Organism: Solanum stenotomum
Lineage: Eukaryota; Viridiplantae; Streptophyta; Magnoliopsida; Solanales; Solanaceae
Exons: 2
Source: RefSeq, a predicted model, not a curated record